GACGAACGCUGGCGGCGUGGAUUAGGCAUGCAAGUCGAACGGUAUCAUCCUUUCGGGGGUGAGAGAGUGGCGAACUGGUGAGUAACACGUAGGUUAUCUACCCUCAAGACGGGGACAACCCAGGGAAACUUGGGCUAAUACCGGAUGUGAGCAACUUUUAGUUGUUUGAAAGGUGGCGUAAGCUGUCGCUUGGGGAUGAGCCUGCGUCCUAUUAGUUAGUUGGUGAGGUAACGGCUCACCUAGGCAAUGAUAGGUAGGCGGCCUUAACGGGUGGUCGCCCACACUGGGAUUGAGAUACGGCCCAGACUCCUACGGGAGGCAGCAGUCGAGAAUAGUCUACAAUGGUCGGAAGACUGAUAGUGCGACGCCGCGUGAACGAUGAAUCCCUUCGGGGUGUAAAGUUCUUUUAUAUGUGAGCAGUGCUUCUUAUAUUAACAGUAUGGGGAGAGAGAUAUUAGCAUAUGAAUAAGCAACGGCUAACUCCGUGCCAGCAGCCGCGGUAAAUCGU
Molecule: ribosomal RNA, 508 nt
Filed under: uncultured bacterium
Lineage: Bacteria
Description: bacterial SSU rRNA
Rfam family: Bacterial small subunit ribosomal RNA
Source: RNAcentral